This is a long non-coding RNA of Oreochromis aureus, 2199 nucleotides long. RefSeq lists it as uncharacterized. The transcript has 3 exons. Lineage: Eukaryota; Metazoa; Chordata; Actinopteri; Cichliformes; Cichlidae. The record is from RefSeq and is a predicted model, not a curated record.
AUAAAUCCCUUAUCGAUAUAUUCAUCAGUGUCUGAGUCUUCACAUUUUUUCAACAGAUUUUCUUUUUCUUUUCUUUUUUUGUGCCUGUCCCGUUUGGAUCUUUAGCCAGAGGAAUUGUUGUCUGAAGGCCAAGAAAGAUGCCAAGCGGAUUUUCAACUGAUUUUCAAAUGGCAGAAACACAAUGAACCAAUCACACUAAGGUGUGUCAUCACUCUGGUUAAAGGACACUGCUAUGCUUUUACCUGCUAAGUAAAGGUCACCCUGACUCACUGCUCCGUCCUGUGGUACAAACAUGAAGGUACAGCCAGCCUUGUUCUAACUCUGGCUUGCAUCUCCACAUCGCAGUGCACAGAUGUUCUCGACGUGAAAAAGCUUGUGCAUGCUCGUGGAUUACCUGUUACAGAAACAACAAAUCACAACAACAGAUGCCUCAGGUGCUUUCAUAUUGUAAGACCUACAAUAACACACAGAAAACAAUGUUUUGAUAAUUAGCAUUACUGUUAGCUGUGGCAGAAACCAGGUGUUGUGGGAAUCCAUCCUACCUGACAAACCAUCAUACCCGCUGUUUCUGCGCAUGUGCACAACACGAAAUUCAUUGGCGAACUAUCCUACCUUUGUGAAUAUGAGUUAGAAACAUACUCUGAUGGGUAAAAUGAAGUGCCAAACCAUGCUACCUUUGUAAAUGUUACCUACAAGCAUACUUUAAUGGGUAAAAUGAAGUGGUAAAGUGUCAUACCUACUUAAUUUUGUGCUGGAAUUACUCUGUGACAGCAGAAAUGUGCAUAAACUAUUUACGGUAGGACGUUUUGCCAAAGUAGGAUGGUUUGUCAGAACACCGGCUCUGCGUGAACUCCAGGAGCACAGGUGACAGAUUUACUUUAGACCAACAUGUUUUUAAAUGACGACACAUUUUACAGCAGCAGAAACACAAAAACGUCACACUGACGUGUUUAACUGAACACGCCGUCUCAUUUCUCAUGUGGCGCUCUGACUCCGGCUCUGAAGAUACACUGACCCUGGUGCUUUUAUUUUUAAAGACCAGUCCUCCAAACAGGAAGUGGUUUUUCCUCAGCACAGCUGCAAAAUGCUGCUGAGAUACUUUGGUUUGACACUUUGUGUUUAUCUGUGAAUGCAAAUGCAGAACAGCUCUUCACAGCACGCAGAGCGUCUCCGGCCACAGAAAUCUGACCGAUGUCAUUUUUAAACCUGUGAGACGCUCGUCGCCCUCAUGACACACGCACAAACACCACGUCUGUGGAUUUGUCAUUUUAACGCUGACAAAAGAAAAAGUGAGUCAGAUUCAUGAAACAAACUCAGCGUCAGAAAAGUUAUUAUUUAAACAUCAACAAUGAAUAUCUGCGAAGCAUCAUCACACAAACUCACACAUAAACGCCUCCUGUGAACCUCUUUAUUUCUCUGCUUUCACUUCCUGUCAUGUCAGUGAUCGUCUGUCACACUUUCUACAAAAACAAGCCCAAAAAUUUAAUUUCUCAGUCAAAAUUUCAAAAUAAGACCCUAACAGUGUCUCUAACGACCCCCCCAUCCCCGCCUAACUCUUGUUGUGGGCGGGGCUCAGCCAGGAGAAAAACUGGGCAGAUGAGGCGGAGGUGGAGGCGGUGGAGGCAGCGAGGCGAGGGCCGUGGGUCUCCACCUGGAGGGACAGCAGGUGGAGAUGAGUGUGAGCAGUACGAGCCUCCUGAAUCCUGCAGAUUCAGAUUUCAGAUUGGCUCUCUAUGCAGACACACAGAGACGACCAAGACCUCACCUGGAAACUCAGCUGGUGUCUCAUACCUGAGAUAAACUUCCUGUUUGCUCCAAACUAUUUUAAAUCCUGUCCUGAUGUUCAAAAUGGUGACCUUUGACCUUUCUAUUUCCAAACUGACUUCCUGCUGGAUUUGUUUGUUUUUUAUUUCCUCUCGCUCUGAUGUCACGGUUACAGAAUGUUACAUUAUUGUAUUUUAAUCUGUAUAAAUGAACUUUUAAAUAAUUAUAAACAGUUUUUCUUUAUAUUAAAUAAAGUGUCCACAGAGCUUAAGCAAACUGGCCCAAAGACAUAUUUCAGAUUAUUAUUAUGAAUUCAGUUUUAGAGCAAUAUUAAUGACAGACACGUGAUGGCAGAUAAAUGUACAUAUUUAAUAAAUGUAAAUGUUUAUCAUGAAGAAUAAAUCUAUGCUUUAAUAAAGCCUGAAUAAAACACGA